AUUGAACGCUGGCGGCAGGCCUAACACAUGCAAGUCGAGCGGUUGAGGUAGCUUGCUACCGAUGCAGCGGCGGACGGGUGAGUAAUACAUGGGAAUCUGCCUGGUAGUGGGGGACAACGUUUCGAAAGGAACGCUAAUACCGCAUACGCCUACGGGGAAAGGGGGGAGUCUUCGGACCUCUCGCUAUCAGAUGAGCCCAU
This 200-nucleotide ribosomal RNA is filed under the name uncultured bacterium. RNAcentral's name for it is "partial 16S ribosomal RNA". It matches the Rfam family "Bacterial small subunit ribosomal RNA", at positions 30 to 234 of the family's 1533-position model. The record is from RNAcentral.